AGGCCUACUAUAUAUUCAUUGAAUGAAUAACUUGAAUUAAUUUCAAGUGUUUAAGCUUUUAGAUAAAAAAAGAUUUUAAGACAAUGAGAAAAACCAUUUCAAUUAUAUGCAAACUUGUGUUAUUGUUUUGUGGUUAAUUAUGUUAAUCUGUAUUGCUGGCUAACAGUUAGCUGCUAUUUUAGUGAAAUCAAAUGAAACUAGUUCACACUUAUAAAUAUUGUUUUAAAAUUAGCUUACACAAAUAUUUGAAUUACUGUAACGUCUCAGUUUUAUUUGUCAUGGUAGGCUGUAGUUAUUCAGAUUAACUUCAAUGUUUUACUUACAUUUACUCCAUAAGGUAUAUUUCACUGAUAUCACAGCUUUAAAAAUGUACUCAAUAUUUAUUAACUAAUAAAAAAAAUAAAAAAAUAAAUAAAAAAAAAACACUACUAUAAAAGUACAUCAUAGUUCAAGUUUUUACAGUGUAGGCCUACAUUUUGCAUCCUCUAGUCAUUUUAUUGUGUCCAGUAGAUGGCAGUAGCUAAACACGCUGAACAAAGAAAUACUGACAGAAGCAAGAUGGCCUACAUUGAUAGACUGGUAAAAUAAACUAAAUACCAACUGUUAGUUUAAUGGUAAUGAAUGGAUUUUAUUUCACACAGAACACAGGCAAGACCCAUUACUCACCACAUUAGGUUAAAGGAUGUUCUGGGUUCAAUACAAUUGAAGCUCUUUACAGGUUAAGCAGUAUCGACAACAUUUUAGGCAGAAUGUCAAUUACUAUCGAAAAUAAUUUCGACUAAUUCUUACUUAAAAUGGAAGUGUAUGGGGGCAAUUGCUCAAUUGUAAGCAUGUAAUUGUCAAUGUGUUUGUUCUUUUACAAAAUGGGGGAUGGAUCAAUUUUUUUUUUUUUUCUUUCCCCAGUGAAUUGACAUGCCUUAAAUGCAGUAAAUGCAGCUUCUGUUGAACCAGGAACCCACUAUAUCAGUAUAUUCAUUUAAAAUCUUUAUUAGUACCACAUGAGAGUUGACAUACAACAUAAACUUAAUGCAAACUGGACAUUUACUGCAGGCAGAUCAUUGGAUUUAACAGUUAGCAUUAGCAAAUCUCAAAACACGACUAGGGAAGUUUCAAAUGCAUUUAGUUCUCAUUUCAGUCUUUGAGUCUCAAGUGGAUGUGUGAAAUGAACUUGUGCAAGAUUCCAGCCCACAAAGGGAGAAGAAACUUCACAAACAACCUGUAUUCAUUCUGCUGAUUAACUAAAAUUGCAGAUGGACAAUAACUUACACCGGUUAUCCUCUUAAAUCUUAAAAUGUUCUUUGGAAGAACCUUAUGUUCCUCUUCAGUGUCCAUGUACAAUUUCCAUUUUCCAAAAAUGACAACAAAACUCCAUAAAAGUACCAUAAAAUUUGUUCUUCUGUUUAAUAUUUUCCAUCUUUGAAGCUAUAUGAUAGUCUUCUGUGUGGAAUACACCAAGUAGUGACUCGCAUAUUGAAAUGCGUCAAAUAUAUGUGGAACUACAUAUUAUAAUGUAUUUUUUCCCCCUCAAAGUCUAUCAAAUCGAACAAAGAAAUGGUAAAAUUUCAUCAUAUCAUGUCUUUCCUGUGGCUAAUACUCUGAGGUGUGAAUUAACAUGUAUAGUUUGUGGCACUGUAUAAGUCAUUUGAAUAGGAAUUGAUAGGGUGUCCUUUACAAUAGGUCUUAAUUGGCAUUUUAUCCAUUUCAGAGGUUGGCCAGAGGACAACUAUCCAUCACUGAGAAGCAGAACAUCAUCCUGAAUGGGAUUUUAAUUGAAACCGAAUUACUGAGAGACUUGUACUCUACUGACGGAGAAGAUUUGUCUGGACUCUGCUGACAACUGGCUGUUUUUCAUUUCUGCCUCUGCUGCAGUCCUCCCCAAGACCAAAGUUCAGAGUUUGUUAUAGCUCACAGAGCCUAUAAUGGAAGAUGGGAUUUGUGCCACCCAGGAAGUUGAACAGGAGGAAACCUGCUGUGGAAAUCAAUGAGUCAGAAGAUUAAACAGUUGAAUCAGGUUUACCUGCCUUAAGGGGUGAAUGAAACAUAUGACUGGAGGGAAAUUAAACUUGUGGUGCACCAGAGUUUGGGCAUUUUUUUUUUUUUUUUUUUUUUAAAGGAGCACCAUAUUAGUUCAAAAUUCAAAGUCUGAGGGUCCAUUUACACAACAACAGUGUACUACAAACUGAAAAGUUUAUCUUUUGCGUUUUUUGCGGACAGACAACAUUAUCAAAAUGAUUCCCUUUUAUACAGAUCCACGGAAACAACAGAAAACGCUGUAUUUUUCAUGCCAGGCCAUUAGUUGGCGAUGUCACUUUUUUAAAGAAACACUACUGAACACAUAAUACGCAUGUGCAUGAUGUCACUGUUUUCAUGAAUUCUUUUUUUUUUUUUUUUUACACGGAGACAAUAACAAUAUCGUUUUGCAAAAACUUGAAAACCUGUUUUCAAAAGUUUGCAUUUUCAGGACCCCAAAACGCAGUUGUCGUGAAAAUUAAUUGCAAAAAUGCAUAAAAAGAUUUCAGUUUUUUUUGUUUUGUUUUUUUAAACAGUGUUGUUUAAACGGUCCCUGAUUCUAAAGGUAAAUCGAGCGGUAUAGUCUAAAUUUUCUGAAGAGACUCAAUCACUUUAUAUGAUGAACAUUUAAUUUAGGCUUUUACUCACAUGUAGACAUUUAUCGUCGAUUCAUAUGGAUUAGUUUUACAAUCUUUUGAAGCGUCAAAGUUUCAUUUGCAAAGGCAGUCAAAGGAAGGAAAUCUGACAGCAUUCUGUCAUCAACAAGAUCUUAAUUUGUGUUCUGAACAAAAGUCUUACGGGUUUGGAAUGGCAUGAGGAUGCCUGGACCUACCAAAACAAACAAAAUGGCUGAAGAUCAUCUCCUCUUUCUCUACCAAGAUGGUCGUCCUUAGUGAUGGUGAAAUGAAGCUUUGCGAAGCACAGAGGCUCUCCCCUCAACUGUAUCGUAAAAAGGUGGUGGAGUUUCUGCAAACUACUGGCUGGCUUGAACACAAUGGCGGAUAAGAUACGGAUGAAAAGGGACAUCAUUUGUACUUUGAGAGUGUCACGGAGUCACAACCAGCACCAACCAACAACAGCCCAUCGUCACCAGAUCAGCACGCUCCAACCACUCGUUCACAAUCCCCGGAGUUCUAAUCACCUGCACCUGCACCUCAUCAUCAGCACUCCCUAUAAAGACUCACUUCUCCUGCACUCCCUUGUCUGGUCUCGUCCAUAUGAACCUCAAGACUACUUACCUGAUUCUUCUGUCUUCUGUCUUCUGUCUUCUGCCAUCCGCCAUCUGCCAUCCGUCUGUCUUCAGUCCUCCUGCCGAUCCUGCAAAGAGACAUUAUAUUACUUUCAGCUGUCUUACUUCAACGUGAACUCUACUAUAUACUUACCAUUCAUCUCCUCUG
Molecule: long non-coding RNA, 3407 nt
Organism: Ctenopharyngodon idella (grass carp)
Lineage: Eukaryota; Metazoa; Chordata; Actinopteri; Cypriniformes; Xenocyprididae
Exons: 5
Source: RefSeq, a predicted model, not a curated record